This 468-nucleotide ribosomal RNA is filed under the name uncultured bacterium. RNAcentral describes it as "bacterial SSU rRNA". It matches the Rfam family "Bacterial small subunit ribosomal RNA", at positions 32 to 507 of the family's 1533-position model. The record is from RNAcentral.
AAUCAACGCUGGCGGCGUGCCUCAGACAUGCAAGUCGAACGAUUAAGACUUCCUUCGGGAAGUGCAUAAAGUGGCGCACGGGUGAGUAACACGUAAGUAAUCUACCCUCGAGUGGGGAAUAACGUUCGGAAACGGACGCUAAUACCGCAUAACGCAGCGGCACCGCAAGGUGACAGUUGUUAAAGGAGCAAUCCGCUUGAGGAGGAGCUUGCGGCAGAUUAGCUAGUUGGUAAGGUAAUGGCUUACCAAGGCUACGAUCUGUAUCCGGUCUAAGAGGACGGUCGGACACACUGACACUGAAUAACGGGUCAGACUCCUACGGGAGGCAGCAGUCGGGAAUUUUGGGCAAUGGGCGAAAGCCUGACCCAGCAACGCCGCGUGAAGGAUGAAGUAUUUCGGUAUGUAAACUUCGAAAGAAUAGGAAGAAUAAAUAGACGGUACUAUUUAUAAGCUCCGGCUAACUACGUG